This is a long non-coding RNA of Leopardus geoffroyi (Geoffroy's cat), 519 nucleotides long. RefSeq lists it as uncharacterized. The record is from RefSeq and is a predicted model, not a curated record. Lineage: Eukaryota; Metazoa; Chordata; Mammalia; Carnivora; Felidae. The transcript is spliced from 3 exons.
GACAAAUCUGAGAUGCAUUGCUGAACGUUCCAUGGGAUCAAGCAACCAGAAGCAAGCUUGCUCUGCUGCUUUCUCUCCUUUCUGUCCCCUGCUUGUCUCUCAGUCACAUGCCGGUCACAUUCCCAAUUCAAGGACUCUUGCAUGAGCCUGUGUCCAGGACACGACAACAACUCACUUGCUCUAGUUGCCUACACAACCUUAAUUUAUGUUCCUCUCAGUCCCUUGAGUGUGCUCUCCUACUACCCUUGCCCUCUUUUUCUGUUAAAGUCUUAGGUCACAGUGGUCCUCUCUGACCUCUCCCUCUCACAGCACCAUGUCCCCUCCCUUUGCAGAGCUGGUCUCAAUGCACCCAAUUCCCACUCAUUAGCUGAUUGCCACCACAGUCUGUGCUGGGCAGAGUAAUUCACCCCAGGGCACCCCAGGCAUGGUGACUCAGGUACUGUUUGGGAGCAGCCCAUCGUCACCUUUGAGAAUUUCUCUGAGAGAAAGACUGAACACAAGCAGGGGAGAGGCAGAGAG